This 374-nucleotide ribosomal RNA is filed under the name uncultured organism. Its description in RNAcentral is "partial 16S ribosomal RNA". It matches the Rfam family "Bacterial small subunit ribosomal RNA", at positions 527 to 896 of the family's 1533-position model. The record is from RNAcentral.
GUAGGUGGCAAGCGUUGUCCGGAAUUAUUGGGCGUAAAGCGCGCGCAGGCGGGUCCUUUAAGUCUGAUGUGAAAGCCCACGGGCUCAACCGUGGAGGGUCAUUGGAAACUGGGGGACUUGAGUACAGAAGAGGAAAGCGGAAUUCCAAGUGUAGCGGUGAAAUGCGUAGAGAUUUGGAGGGACACCAGUGGCGAAGGCGGCUUUCUGGUCUGUAACUGACGCUGAGGCGCGAAAGCGUGGGGAGCAAACAGGAUUAGAUACCCUGGUAGUCCACGCCGUAAACGAUGAGUGCUAAGUGUUAGGGGGUUUCCGCCCCUUAGUGCUGCAGCUAACGCAUUAAGCACUCCGCCUGGGGAGUACGGCCGCAAAGGCUG